This 429-nucleotide ribosomal RNA is filed under the name Chloroflexota bacterium. RNAcentral describes it as "Chloroflexi bacterium partial 16S ribosomal RNA". It matches the Rfam family "Bacterial small subunit ribosomal RNA", at positions 355 to 776 of the family's 1533-position model. Lineage: Bacteria; Bacillati; Chloroflexota. The record is from RNAcentral.
UAGGGAAUCUUCGGCAAUGGACGAAAGUCUGACCGAGCAACGCCGCGUGAGUGAAGAAGGUUUUCGGAUCGUAAAACUCUGUUGUUAGAGAAGAACAAGGACGUUAGUAACUGAACGUCCCCUGACGGAAUCUAACCAGAAAGCCACGGCUAACUACGUGCCAGCAGCCGCGGUAAUACGUAGGUGGCAAGCGUUGUCCGGAUUUAUUGGGCGUAAAGCGAGCGCAGGCGGUUUCUUAAGUCUGAUGUGAAAGCCCCCGGCUCAACCGGGGAGGGUCAUUGGAAACUGGGAGACUUGAGUGCAGAAGAGGAGAGUGGAAUUCCAUGUGUAGCGGUGAAAUGCGUAGAUAUAUGGAGGAACACCAGUGGCGAAGGUGGCUCUCUGGUCUGUAACUGACGCUGAGGCUCGAAAGCGUGGGGAGCAAACAGG